RNAcentral lists this long non-coding RNA (409 nucleotides) under Homo sapiens (human). RNAcentral describes it as "HSALNT0036346". Lineage: Eukaryota; Metazoa; Chordata; Mammalia; Primates; Hominidae. The record is from RNAcentral.
GGAGAGUGCAUGAGUAUUUAGAUCUACAAUUCACACAAGGAAUGAUUUCGGCAUGUCUAGGAGAGUCAGAGAAAAGACGGGAGGGAAAUGGGGGAGAAAGAAAAACGUGAGAGAACCUUCUACUUCCUGAAAGGCACCAUGACUCUGGAAUGUUACCUGUAAUUAAGAAUGUCAGAAGAACCGAGCCUCCAUUCUAAAGUUUCUGUGGUGAAGUCAUCUGUAUUUCCUAGGUCAGUAAACCCAACAACAUAAUCUUGUGUUUUCCCAUCUUUUAGCAGUGCUAGUGUGGGAAUGACUUUGAUAUGCAGUCUCUCACAAAGGAAAGGUGCUUUUUCCACAUUCAGCUUCAAAAAUUUGGUCUCGAGGUGUUUCUUGGACAAUAUUGCCAGAUGUCUGUCUAGUAUUUUAC